This 253-nucleotide ribosomal RNA is filed under the name uncultured bacterium. RNAcentral describes it as "partial 16S ribosomal RNA". It matches the Rfam family "Bacterial small subunit ribosomal RNA", at positions 524 to 776 of the family's 1533-position model. The record is from RNAcentral.
UACGUAGGGUGCAAGCGUUAAUCGGAAUUACUGGGCGUAAAGCGUGCGCAGGCGGUUUUGUAAGUCUGUCGUGAAAUCCCCGGGCUAAACCUGGGAAUUGCGAUGGAGACUGCAAGGCUAGAAUCUGGCAGAGGGGGGUAGAAUUCCACGUGUAGCAGUGAAAUGCGUAGAGAUGUGGAGGAACACCGAUGGCGAAGGCAGCCCCCUGGGUCAAGAUUGACGCUCAUGCACGAAAGCGUGGGGAGCAAACAGG